This is a non-coding RNA of Myotis davidii, 132 nucleotides long. The record is from Rfam. NCBI's taxonomy places the organism in Eukaryota, Metazoa, Chordata, Mammalia, Chiroptera, Vespertilionidae.
GGCCUCUCUUCCAUAGGGAUACAGGGAGUUUCUUUUCUCCUCAGCCAAGACUGGAGGCUAAGAUCAACCCUUGAGGGUCAUUGUUGGAGCUGCCCUGAGCUGGGAAGCCUUGUUUUCCUACCUCAGACAUUU